This 2932-nucleotide ribosomal RNA is filed under the name Escherichia coli. RNAcentral describes it as "23S ribosomal RNA". It matches the Rfam family "Bacterial large subunit ribosomal RNA". Lineage: Bacteria; Pseudomonadati; Pseudomonadota; Gammaproteobacteria; Enterobacterales; Enterobacteriaceae. The record is from RNAcentral.
GGGUUGUGAGGUUAAGCGACUAAGCGUACACGGUGGAUGCCCUGGCAGUCAGAGGCGAUGAAGGACGUGCUAAUCUGCGAUAAGCGUCGGUAAGGUGAUAUGAACCGUUAUAACCGGCGAUUUCCGAAUGGGGAAACCCAGUGUGUUUCGACACACUAUCAUUAACUGAAUCCAUAGGUUAAUGAGGCGAACCGGGGGAACUGAAACAUCUAAGUACCCCGAGGAAAAGAAAUCAACCGAGAUUCCCCCAGUAGCGGCGAGCGAACGGGGAGCAGCCCAGAGCCUGAAUCAGUGUGUGUGUUAGUGGAAGCGUCUGGAAAGGCGCGCGAUACAGGGUGACAGCCCCGUACACAAAAAUGCACAUGCUGUGAGCUCGAUGAGUAGGGCGGGACACGUGGUAUCCUGUCUGAAUAUGGGGGGACCAUCCUCCAAGGCUAAAUACUCCUGACUGACCGAUAGUGAACCAGUACCGUGAGGGAAAGGCGAAAAGAACCCCGGCGAGGGGAGUGAAAAAGAACCUGAAACCGUGUACGUACAAGCAGUGGGAGCACGCUUAGGCGUGUGACUGCGUACCUUUUGUAUAAUGGGUCAGCGACUUAUAUUCUGUAGCAAGGUUAACCGAAUAGGGGAGCCGAAGGGAAACCGAGUCUUAACUGGGCGUUAAGUUGCAGGGUAUAGACCCGAAACCCGGUGAUCUAGCCAUGGGCAGGUUGAAGGUUGGGUAACACUAACUGGAGGACCGAACCGACUAAUGUUGAAAAAUUAGCGGAUGACUUGUGGCUGGGGGUGAAAGGCCAAUCAAACCGGGAGAUAGCUGGUUCUCCCCGAAAGCUAUUUAGGUAGCGCCUCGUGAAUUCAUCUCCGGGGGUAGAGCACUGUUUCGGCAAGGGGGUCAUCCCGACUUACCAACCCGAUGCAAACUGCGAAUACCGGAGAAUGUUAUCACGGGAGACACACGGCGGGUGCUAACGUCCGUCGUGAAGAGGGAAACAACCCAGACCGCCAGCUAAGGUCCCAAAGUCAUGGUUAAGUGGGAAACGAUGUGGGAAGGCCCAGACAGCCAGGAUGUUGGCUUAGAAGCAGCCAUCAUUUAAAGAAAGCGUAAUAGCUCACUGGUCGAGUCGGCCUGCGCGGAAGAUGUAACGGGGCUAAACCAUGCACCGAAGCUGCGGCAGCGACGCUGAUGCGUUGUUGGGUAGGGGAGCGUUCUGUAAGCCUGCGAAGGUGUGCUGUGAGGCAUGCUGGAGGUAUCAGAAGUGCGAAUGCUGACAUAAGUAACGAUAAAGCGGGUGAAAAGCCCGCUCGCCGGAAGACCAAGGGUUCCUGUCCAACGUUAAUCGGGGCAGGGUGAGUCGACCCCUAAGGCGAGGCCGAAAGGCGUAGUCGAUGGGAAACAGGUUAAUAUUCCUGUACUUGGUGUUACUGCGAAGGGGGGACGGAGAAGGCUAUGUUGGCCGGGCGACGGUUGUCCCGGUUUAAGCGUGUAGGCUGGUUUUCCAGGCAAAUCCGGAAAAUCAAGGCUGAGGCGUGAUGACGAGGCACUACGGUGCUGAAGCAACAAAUGCCCUGCUUCCAGGAAAAGCCUCUAAGCAUCAGGUAACAUCAAAUCGUACCCCAAACCGACACAGGUGGUCAGGUAGAGAAUACCAAGGCGCUUGAGAGAACUCGGGUGAAGGAACUAGGCAAAAUGGUGCCGUAACUUCGGGAGAAGGCACGCUGAUAUGUAGGUGAAGUCCCUUGCGGAUGGAGCUGAAAUCAGUCGAAGAUACCAGCUGGCUGCAACUGUUUAUUAAAAACACAGCACUGUGCAAACACGAAAGUGGACGUAUACGGUGUGACGCCUGCCCGGUGCCGGAAGGUUAAUUGAUGGGGUUAGCCGCAAGGCGAAGCUCUUGAUCGAAGCCCCGGUAAACGGCGGCCGUAACUAUAACGGUCCUAAGGUAGCGAAAUUCCUUGUCGGGUAAGUUCCGACCUGCACGAAUGGCGUAAUGAUGGCCAGGCUGUCUCCACCCGAGACUCAGUGAAAUUGAACUCGCUGUGAAGAUGCAGUGUACCCGCGGCAAGACGGAAAGACCCCGUGAACCUUUACUAUAGCUUGACACUGAACAUUGAGCCUUGAUGUGUAGGAUAGGUGGGAGGCUUAGAAGUGUGGACGCCAGUCUGCAUGGAGCCGACCUUGAAAUACCACCCUUUAAUGUUUGAUGUUCUAACGUUGACCCGUAAUCCGGGUUGCGGACAGUGUCUGGUGGGUAGUUUGACUGGGGCGGUCUCCUCCUAAAGAGUAACGGAGGAGCACGAAGGUUGGCUAAUCCUGGUCGGACAUCAGGAGGUUAGUGCAAUGGCAUAAGCCAGCUUGACUGCGAGCGUGACGGCGCGAGCAGGUGCGAAAGCAGGUCAUAGUGAUCCGGUGGUUCUGAAUGGAAGGGCCAUCGCUCAACGGAUAAAAGGUACUCCGGGGAUAACAGGCUGAUACCGCCCAAGAGUUCAUAUCGACGGCGGUGUUUGGCACCUCGAUGUCGGCUCAUCACAUCCUGGGGCUGAAGUAGGUCCCAAGGGUAUGGCUGUUCGCCAUUUAAAGUGGUACGCGAGCUGGGUUUAGAACGUCGUGAGACAGUUCGGUCCCUAUCUGCCGUGGGCGCUGGAGAACUGAGGGGGGCUGCUCCUAGUACGAGAGGACCGGAGUGGACGCAUCACUGGUGUUCGGGUUGUCAUGCCAAUGGCACUGCCCGGUAGCUAAAUGCGGAAGAGAUAAGUGCUGAAAGCAUCUAAGCACGAAACUUGCCCCGAGAUGAGUUCUCCCUGACCCUUUAAGGGUCCUGAAGGAACGUUGAAGACGACGACGUUGAUAGGCCGGGUGUGUAAGCGCAGCGAUGCGUUGAGCUAACCGGUACUAAUGAACCGUGAGGCUUAACCUUACAACGCCGAAGCUGUU